RNAcentral lists this ribosomal RNA (1664 nucleotides) under Peltoperla arcuata (Appalachian roachfly). Its description in RNAcentral is "partial 28S ribosomal RNA". It matches the Rfam family "Eukaryotic large subunit ribosomal RNA", at positions 24 to 1804 of the family's 3401-position model. The record is from RNAcentral. Lineage: Eukaryota; Metazoa; Arthropoda; Insecta; Plecoptera; Peltoperlidae.
UCCCGCGUAAUUUAAGCAUAUUAAUAAGCGGAGGAAAAGAAACUAACCAGGAUUCCCUCAGUAGCUGCGAGCGAACAGGGAAGAGCCCAGCACCGAAUCCUGUCCGUCUCGCGCGGAUCUGGAAAUGUGGUGUUUGGGAGGGCCCGUUUCGAUCUCGCCCCGAGGCGUCCGUCCAAGUCCAUCUUGAAAGUGGCCACAGCCCGUAGAGGGUGCCAGGCCCGUAGGACGACGCAACACGUCGGGGCGAAAGGGUCUAGAGUUCAAGAGUACGUGAAACCGUUCGGGGGUAAACGGACGAAAUCUGGAAAAUCGAAGGGAGUGAUUCAAGCCCGUCCGCCGUCACGCGUGUCGCUGCGGCCGCCGAUGGCGCGCACCCGGUCCCGUCCCGCCCGCAAGGGUGGGCGCGGAUCGCCGGGUCCGUCACGUGCGCGUCGUACGUCGACCACGGGCGCGGGCUGCACUUCACUCCUUGUAGUACGUCGCGACCCGUUGGGUGUGCGUCCAGGGCCCGUGCGUGGAGCCGACGGACGUGUCCGGCGUCGCGUGCCUCGGCACGCGUGCGUCCGGCCGUCCGACGACCGCUGCGGUGACCCGACGCACCCGCCCGACGGUAUCCACGAAGACGAACGUGGCGAAAAGAACGUGGCGGUAAUGCGCCCGCGAUCCCCCCCCGGGGGGGUACGCCUCGCGUCAGCGACGCUCCAUUCAGAGCAUCAUCCGACCCGUCUUGAAACACGGACCAAGGAGUCUAACAUGUGCGCGAGUCAUUGGGACCGCAACGAAACCUAAAGGCGAAAUGAAAGUGAAGGCCGCGGCGCAAGCCCGUGCCCAAAUAUAAUGAGGGGAGAUGCCCGUCGUCCGUGUAGCGACACGGGCCGCAUCCCCGGGACGUCUCGUUGUCAUCGCGACACAGUAGGCGUACCCAGAGCGUACACGUUGGGACCCGAAAGAUGGUGAACUAUGCCUGGUCAGGUCGAAGUCUGGCGUUCGAGUCUGCGUGUGGCACGCGUCGCGGCCCUCGGGUCCGGCGCGUGCUUCGACCAGUCUCAUCUGGUAAAGCGAAUGAUUAGAGGCCUUGGGGCCGAAACGACCUCAACCUAUUCUCAAACUUUAAAUGGGUGAGAUACUCGACUUGCUCGAACGAUGAAGUCGAGGCGCGCAAGCGCAAGUGGCGGAUGAACGGGGUGCCAAGUGGGCCAAUUUUGGUAAGCAGAACUGGCGCUGUGGGAUGAACCAAACGUCGAGUUAAGGCGCCUAAAUCGAUGCUCAUGGGAUACCAUGAAAGGCGUUGGUUGCUUAAGACAGCAGNNNNNNNNNNNNNNNNNNNNNNNNNNNNNNNNNNNNNNNNNNNNNNNNNNGGAAUCCGUUUCCUAUUACGGAACCCGGCAGCGGAACCGACCAUGCGGGCCACUGUCGGACGCCCGCCGAGGCGGCGUCGUGUCGGCGUGUAAUAGCGUCGCGCCCGGCGUCGUCGACCGCGCGGUGUCGUCCGGCAACUCGUCGGGGUAACCCAAAAGGACCCGGAGACGCCGUCGGAUGAUCGAGGCAGAGUUUUCUGUUCUGUAUGAGCGUUCGAGUUCCCUGGAAUCGCCUAGCGCGGAGAUAGGGUUUGGAACGCGAAGAGCACCGCACUUGCGGCGGUGUCUCGAUCUAUCCCUCGGACC